UCGGCCUCAGGCAGGGACCAGAUACAAGCAGCAGUCUCUGGCGGGGCAGGCAGACAGACGCGUGAGGCGGCUGGCGCCGGAUGCUUCUUUAAUGAAAUAGUGCCAUAGACUGAAAACGCAAACAUGAGGAUGGCAGGUAAGAUAUUUAUUUCAUUUGUAUUUGCAUUAAUUUGGAAAUAAAUCAUAUUGUUCAUUAAUGAAUAAAAGAUUA
This 211-nucleotide long non-coding RNA is filed under the name Monodelphis domestica (gray short-tailed opossum). RNAcentral's name for it is "lncRNA (ENSMODG00000040651.1)". The record is from RNAcentral. Lineage: Eukaryota; Metazoa; Chordata; Mammalia; Didelphimorphia; Didelphidae.